AGUGAACGCUGGCGGUAGGCCUAACACAUGCAAGUCGAACGGCAGCACAGUAAGAGCUUGCUCUUACGGGUGGCGAGUGGCGGACGGGUGCGGAAUACAUCGGAAUCUACUUUUUCGUGGGGGAUAACGUAGGGAAACUUACGCUAAUACCGCAGACGACCUACGGGUGAAAGCAGGGGAUCUUCGGACCUUGCGCGAUUGAAUGAGCCGAUGUCGGAUUAGCUAGUUGGCGGGGUAAAGGCCCACCAAGGCGACGAUCCGUAGCUGGUCUGAGAGGAUGAUCAGCCACACUGGAACUGAGACACGGUCCAGACUCCUACGGGAGGCAGCAGUGGGGAAUAUUGGACAAUGGGCGCAAGCCUGAUCCAGCCAUACCGCGUGGGUGAAGAAGGCCUUCGGGUUGUAAAGCCCUUUUGUUGGGAAAGAAAAGCAGCAGGUUAAUACCCCGCUGUUCUGACGGUACCCAAAGAAUAAGCACCGGCUAACUUCGUG
Molecule: ribosomal RNA, 492 nt
Filed under: uncultured bacterium
Lineage: Bacteria
Description: partial 16S ribosomal RNA
Rfam family: Bacterial small subunit ribosomal RNA
Source: RNAcentral